RNAcentral lists this ribosomal RNA (279 nucleotides) under uncultured Staphylococcus sp. Its description in RNAcentral is "partial 16S ribosomal RNA". It matches the Rfam family "Bacterial small subunit ribosomal RNA", at positions 83 to 354 of the family's 1533-position model. The record is from RNAcentral. Lineage: Bacteria; Bacillati; Bacillota; Bacilli; Caryophanales; Staphylococcaceae.
CCUUUGACGUUAGCGGCGGACGGGUGAGUAACACGUGGGUAACCUACCUAUAAGACUGGGAUAACUUCGGGAAACCGGAGCUAAUACCGGAUAAUAUUUCGAACCGCAUGGUUCGAUAGUGAAAGAUGGUUUUACUAUCACUUAUAGAUGGACCUGCGCCGUAUUAGCUAGUUGGUAAGGUAACGGUUUACCAAGGCGACGAUACGUAGCCGACCUGAGAGGGUGAUCGGCCACACUGGAACUGAGACACGGUCCAGACUCCUACGGGAGGCAGCAGGC